GCUGAGCCCUGCUCAUGCAGAGGUUGCGGUGAUACGGAGCGACGGUGUCGAUCAUGUCUUUUAUUCAGUGUUUAAUUGACAGAAAUGUAUUCUGCACUACCCUAAAUACAUUGGGGAUAUUAAUUAAUUAAUUAAAUGCCCUGAACACCCACACAGGUGUUUUCAGUUAAUGUGGAAGAUUAGACCAAAUCUGAUAGCUCCUCGACUCCUUGGUCCUCGCAAGUUGUUCUGUCCCUCCUCAGUGAAGGCUGUCUCAAAGCACUUAUUUCUGCCCCAAGGAGCGAGCAUCGAGGAGGGAUCUCCGAGGAGCUAUAGCCGAGGAUACAGAGAGCAGCCUUCCCGGAAGCUGUGCAGCUGAAGGACAUUGCUAAAUUCCUC
This is a long non-coding RNA of Etheostoma spectabile (orangethroat darter), 378 nucleotides long. RefSeq lists it as uncharacterized. The record is from RefSeq and is a predicted model, not a curated record. NCBI's taxonomy places the organism in Eukaryota, Metazoa, Chordata, Actinopteri, Perciformes, Percidae. The transcript is spliced from 3 exons.